GCCCUCACUGCCACUCAGGCCUGAAGGAGAACCUUCAGCAGGGUCAAAGGAACUGUUCUGUCCUGCCUUUCUUUGCAGAUGACCCUGAUGAUGAUCCUGAUGAUGAAGAUGAGCCUGUUGACAAAGAUGAUCCUGUGGACGAAGACUAUCCUGUGAAUGGAGACGAUCUGGAUUCCCUACGCAUACCCAUUACUGAGCCUCUGGGAGAUGCUGAGGGUGUGUCUGCAGGGAGGACUUUGGUGGAUGUUGCACGCAGGCCCAGCUCCCAUGGCAGGGGUCCUCCAAGAAGGAAGAAGAAACCUAUAGGAGCUAGUACAUCCCUGGAGGAAUCCAAACAUCUGGAAAAACUCCUGAGUGGUGUGGACAGCCAGCAUGGUGGGUGCAUUUCCCUCAGCCUUCCCCUGGGACUCAGCAGCCGGGGGCAUUGGCUGCACAUCUGGACACGCCAUGCCCGGCACAGUGGGAAGGCAUCCAUGCAUCACAGGCCAUGCACACCCUAAGAUCCCCUGCAAUUUCCCAGUCUCUGCGCACAUCUGGAGGGGCCGCUCUGUGCAGGAGGGAGGGCCCUGGAGCAGCUCCAAAAUGCUGGCCAUUUUCCUUCUCCUUAUCCAUGUCUUCAACAAGUGUUGCCUGGAGCAGAAUGGCACAGCACAGAGGAAUUACGGUGUGCAGGCUCAGGGGUUCGGGUACUGAGCAGGCCUGUGCCAAAGGGCAGCAAGGUGCCUGCAGGCCCCAGCUCUGGGGGAAACAGAGAACAUCCUGCCUGUAUCCACCGUGCUGCCAGCUCAGCAGUGCAGCACAGCACGGGCUCACGCUCCCCAUUGCUCCCACAGAUGCAGCCAGCACCUCAACACAUUCUGACAUCAUCUGGAAAAGCAUGAGAAGAGUUUUCUGCUGGGGAACACCUUGUUUGAUUAAGUUGAUGGCCAUUGUGGCUGGUGCGGCACUGUGCCUGAUGAUGUGCUGUGCAGCAAUCUGGUAUUGCUGGAAGAGAAAAUCGUGCUCCUGUGCAUCUUCAGAAAAUUAUCCUAAAAAUAGAGACAACGACAACUUGACAAUAUAACCCAGCUCUUCACUUCUGCCCCUAUCUGCCCUGCCGUGGCUGCACCACCAUAAUGAAGGCAUCCCCAAAUCCAUCCCUCCUCAACGAGACCCUCUGCCCCGGAGUCCCCUGGUCCUGUUCCCCGGCCAGGACUGAAGGUGGGCAGCCCUUGUCUGGCAGGGCAGGGCUUGGCCCCUAUUUUAUGUUUAAAUAAAGAAAUAGAGUUUUCACAGCUA
Molecule: long non-coding RNA, 1278 nt
Organism: Passer domesticus (house sparrow)
Lineage: Eukaryota; Metazoa; Chordata; Aves; Passeriformes; Passeridae
Exons: 4
Source: RefSeq, a predicted model, not a curated record